This 206-nucleotide ribosomal RNA is filed under the name uncultured bacterium. Its description in RNAcentral is "partial 16S ribosomal RNA". It matches the Rfam family "Bacterial small subunit ribosomal RNA", at positions 524 to 728 of the family's 1533-position model. The record is from RNAcentral.
UACGAAGGGGGCUAGCGUUGCUCGGAAUUACUGGGCGUAAAGCGCACGUAGGCGGCUUGUUAAGUCAGGGGUGAAAUCCUGGAGCUCAACUCCGGAAUUGCCUUUAAGACUGCAUCGCUUGAAUCAUGGAGAGGUGAGUGGAAUUCCGAGUGUAGAGGUGAAAUUCGUAGAUAUUCGGAAGGAACACCAGUGGCGAAGGCGGCACU